CCUACGGGAGGCAGCAGUGAGGAAUAUUGGUCAAUGGGCGCGAGCCUGAACCAGCCAAGUCGCGUGAGGGAAGACGGUCCUAUGGAUUGUAAACCUCUUUUGUCGGGGAGCAAAAGACGCCACGCGUGGCGUUCCGAGAGUACCCGAAGAAAAAGCAUCGGCUAACUCCGUGCCAGCAGCCGCGGUAGUACGGAGGAUGCGAGCGUUAUCCGGAUUUAUGGGGUUUAAAGGGUGCGCAGGCGGAAGAUCAAGUCAGCGGUAAAAUUGAGCGGCUCACCCUCUUCGAGCCGUUGAAACUGGUUUUCUUGCGUGCGCGUGACGUCUGCGGACUGCGUGGUGUAGCGG
This 345-nucleotide ribosomal RNA is filed under the name uncultured bacterium. Its description in RNAcentral is "partial 16S ribosomal RNA". It matches the Rfam family "Bacterial small subunit ribosomal RNA", at positions 338 to 681 of the family's 1533-position model. The record is from RNAcentral.